RNAcentral lists this ribosomal RNA (253 nucleotides) under uncultured bacterium. Its description in RNAcentral is "partial 16S ribosomal RNA". It matches the Rfam family "Bacterial small subunit ribosomal RNA", at positions 524 to 776 of the family's 1533-position model. The record is from RNAcentral.
UACGUAGGGACCAAGCGUUGUCCGGAAUCAUUGGGCGUAAAGCGCGCGUAGGUGGCCAUUUAAGUCCGCUGUGAAAGUCAAAGGCUCAACCUUUGAAAGCCGGUGGAUACUGGAUGGCUAGAGUACGGAAGAGGCGAGUGGAAUUCCUGGUGUAGCGGUGGAAUGCGCAGAUAUCAGGAGGAACACCAAUAGCGAAGGCAGCUCGCUGGGACGUUACUGACACUGAGGCGCGAAAGCGUGGGGAGCAAACAGG